CUUCACACUUAUUUAAUUCUAAUUUAUUGGGUAAUAAAACAUGUUCAUCUGAACUUUCUUUUGAUUGCACUGCAUGCAAACUUGGCAAAAGUAAAACUCUACCUUUUCCCUCUUAUGGAUCUCGUGCCUCACAAUGUUUUGAUAUUAUUCAUAGUGAUGUUUGGGGGAUUUCACCUAUUAUUUCUCAUGCAGGUUAUAAGUACUUUGUUACAUUUAUUGAUGACUUCAGUAGUUUUACUUGGGUUUAUUUUUUACGAGCCAAAUCAUAAGUUUUUUCAGUCUUUAAGCGUUUCCUGGCUCUUGUUGAGACUCAAUUUUCUAGCCUCAUUAAGAUCUUGCGAUCUGAUUUUGCGGAGGAAUAUAUGUCCAAUGAGUUUCAGAACUUUCUCCAAAGUAAGGGUACAUCUCUCAGCAUUCUUGUCCUUCGACACCACAGCAAAACAGUGUUGCUGAAAAAAAAGAAUCGUCACCUCCUGGAUAUGGUAAGAACACUCUUACUUGAAUCAUUGGUACCUUCUCGAUUCUGAUGUGAAGUACUUUCCACUUCGGUUCAUUUAAUUAAUCGUUUACCAUCUCCUACUUUAAAUCACGUUUCUCCAUUCUUUAAGCUGUUUAGAUAUUCAACUUCCUAUUUUGAUCUGCGUACAUUUGGUUGUGUUUGUUUUGUACAUCUUCCUACUCAUGAGCGAUAUAAACUUACUGCUCGGUCUGUUAAAUGUGCUUUCCUUGGUUAUGCUGUCUCUCAAAAAGGUUAUAUUUGCUAUGAUUCUCAUGCUAAACGUAUCCGCAUUUCUAGGAAUGUGAUUUUCUUUGAAAACCAAUAUUUUUUUCUGUCUCAUUCUGAGCUACCCCCUACAUCUUCAUCUAUCCUGCCUAACUUCUCUGAUUCCCCAGAUGUUAUAGCACGAUUUAAGCCAGGACUUGUGUAGGAACGACGUAAUCGUGGGUCUGAUCCUCUUGCUGAUGUGCCCCCUCCUGAUCUCGAACCGAAACCUGAUCCUCCUACAGUUCCCAUUUGUCUUCGUCGGUCUACUCGUCAUUCUCGCCCACCCGAUCGGUACGAUUUCUCAUCUCCUGUUUCUCUUGUAACUACUUUAUCUGCUAUUUCCAUUUCCACUUGUUACAAAUAGGCCAUGGAACAUGAGUGUUGACAAAAGGCAAUGCAAGCAGAACUUCAGGCCCUUGAGGAGAA
RNAcentral lists this long non-coding RNA (1192 nucleotides) under Olea europaea subsp. europaea. The record is from RNAcentral. Lineage: Eukaryota; Viridiplantae; Streptophyta; Magnoliopsida; Lamiales; Oleaceae.